UGGAAAUGAAAAGAGAUGUUUCUACGGAAAUACAAACGAAGAAGAAAAGCUUCGCUGAGUGACGGACUACUAACACAGCCAGCCUUGCUGCUGAAUUGAGCAGUUCAUGCAAGUAAUCAGAUCUGUGCUAUAAGAUUAUAGGCCAAGCAAAUUAAGAAACAGCCGAUAAACAAUAACCGGUGAGGCGGCCGCGGUUCUGAUUCAAUCUGGCCAACGUGGAAGGCUUGAGAGCGAGAUCGUCUCUGAAGCCUGGAGCUGCCGGCAUUGGCGU
Molecule: long non-coding RNA, 271 nt
Filed under: Linum usitatissimum (flax)
Lineage: Eukaryota; Viridiplantae; Streptophyta; Magnoliopsida; Malpighiales; Linaceae
Description: long non-coding RNA (LUSI_LNC001807)
Source: RNAcentral